RNAcentral lists this ribosomal RNA (284 nucleotides) under uncultured bacterium. Its description in RNAcentral is "partial 16S ribosomal RNA". It matches the Rfam family "Bacterial small subunit ribosomal RNA", at positions 338 to 639 of the family's 1533-position model. The record is from RNAcentral.
CCUACGGGAGGCAGCAGUGGGGAAUAUUGCACAAUGGGGGAAACCCUGAUGCAGCGACGCCGCGUGAGCGAUGAAGUAUUUCGGUAUGUAAAGCUCUAUCGGCAGGGAAGAAAAUGACGGGACCUGACUAAGAAGCCCCGGCUAACUACGUGCCAGCAGCCGCGGUAAUACGUAGGGGGGAAGCGUUAUCCGGAUUUACUGGGUGUAAAGGGAGCGUAGACGGCGGGGCAAGCCAGAUGUGAAAGCCCGGGGCUCAACCCCGGGACUGCAUUUGGAACUAUCAA